RNAcentral lists this ribosomal RNA (508 nucleotides) under uncultured bacterium. Its description in RNAcentral is "partial 16S ribosomal RNA". It matches the Rfam family "Bacterial small subunit ribosomal RNA", at positions 30 to 523 of the family's 1533-position model. The record is from RNAcentral.
AUUGAACGCUGGCGGCAUGCCUUACACAUGCAAGUCGAACGGCAGCGGGGGAGAAGCUUGCUUUUCCUGCCGGCGAGUGGCGAACGGGUGAGUAAUACAUCGGAACGUGCCCUGUAGUGGGGGAUAACUAGUCGAAAGAUUAGCUAAUACCGCAUACGACCUGAGGGUGAAAGUGGGGGACCGCAAGGCCUCAUGCUAUAGGAGCGGCCGAUGUCUGAUUAGCUAGUUGGUGGGGUAAAGUCCUACCAAGGCGACGAUCAGUAGCUGGUCUGAGAGGACGAUCAGCCACACUGGGACUGAGACACGGCCCAGACUCCUACGGGAGGCAGCAAUGAGGAAUUUUGGACAAUGGGCGAAAGCCUGAUCCAGCAAUGCCGCGUGUGUGAAGAAGGCCUUCGGGUUGUAAAGCACUUUUGUCCGGAAAGAAAUGGCUCUGGUUAAUACCUGGGGUCGAUGGCGGUACCGGAAGAAUAAGGACCGGCUAACUACGUGCCAGCAGCCGCGGUAA